RNAcentral lists this ribosomal RNA (826 nucleotides) under Cortinarius aff. clelandii 1 FS-2012. RNAcentral describes it as "eukaryotic LSU rRNA". It matches the Rfam family "Eukaryotic large subunit ribosomal RNA", at positions 84 to 895 of the family's 3401-position model. Lineage: Eukaryota; Fungi; Basidiomycota; Agaricomycetes; Agaricales; Cortinariaceae. The record is from RNAcentral.
UAACUGCGAGUGAAGCGGGAAAAGCUCAAAUUUAAAAUCUGGCAGUCUUUCGGCUGUCCGAGUUGUAAUCUAGAGAAGUGUUAUCCGCGCUGGACCGUGUACAAGUCUCCUGGAAUGGAGCGUCAUAGAGGGUGAGAAUCCCGUCUUUGACACGGACUACCAGGGCUUUGUGAUGCGCUCUCAAAGAGUCGAGUUGUUUGGGAAUGCAGCUCAAAAUGGGUGGUAAAUUCCAUCUAAAGCUAAAUAUUGGCGAGAGACCGAUAGCGAACAAGUACCGUGAGGGAAAGAUGAAAAGAACUUUGGAAAGAGAGUUAAACAGUACGUGAAAUUGCUGAAAGGGAAACGCUUGAAGUCAGUCGCGUUGUCCAGGGAUCAACCUUGCUUUUGCUUGGUGCACUUUCUGGUUAACGGGUCAGCAUCAAUUUUGACUAUUGGAAAAAGGUUAAGGGAAUGUGGCAUCUUUGGAUGUGUUAUAGCCCUUGAUUGUAUACAAUAGUUGGGAUUGAGGAACUCAGCACGCCGCAAGGCCGGGUUUUUAACCACGUACGUGCUUAGGAUGCUGGCAUAAUGGCUUUAAUCGACCCGUCUUGAAACACGGACCAAGGAGUCUAACAUGCCUGCGAGUGUUUGGGUGGAAAACCCGAGCGCGUAAUGAAAGUGAAAGUUGAGAUCCCUGUCGUAGGGAGCAUCGACGCCCGGACCAGACCUUUUGUGACGGUUCCGCGGUAGAGCAUGUAUGUUGGGACCCGAAAGAUGGUGAACUAUGCCUGAAUAGGGUGAAGCCAGAGGAAACUCUGGUGGAGGCUCGUAGCGAUUCUGACGUGCA